ACGCCGCGCCCCCGCCACGAGAGCGCUCCACGCGGCGCGUGUUGACAACUCCGGGCGUGGACCCGACCGUUCCCACGUGACGUGUGACCCUUCUUCCCAUAUAAAACCGAACUGGCCACGCCAGUCCCGAAGCACCUGACCCAGCGACCCAGAAACCCCUCAACUGCGCGCCCCUGACCCGGGGACUCCCACCCCUCGUACACGCACCCCUUCCACCUCCCCGACGGACAGCCCCGGAGGGAAAGAGCUUCAGCACAGAAGCCCAGGGCCGCCGCGGACGUGACGUUUAAAGCGACUGCGCCUCCCAGGCCCACCCCCAGAGGCGCGCAGUGCACUCUGGGCCUUGUAGUCCUCCGGGAGGCGGAGGCGGAGCCAGAGCCGCGGUGCCGGCCCUUAGAGCUCGCAGCCUCUGCCGCACGCUUAGGUUCACGAGAAACCCGCUGAUGGGAGACCUCUGCAGUUUUCCUAUGAAGCUGCAAAAAUGAACUCUUCCCAGUGUGAACUGUUUCCUACAGACAUGAGCACAUGAUAAGGCAUGGCCUCUAACCUUAUCAAGGAGCCUGGCAGUGGUCCGAGGUGGAGGGCAUUCGACAGCUUUUGCCACACAGAUAUCAUCAAGAAUUUUGCGAGUUUCUGUGGUAACAAAUAUAAGAGUUAGGACAAGACACAUUACAUUAGCCCAGUAAAAACAUAUAAAGAGGGGGCUGGGAACGUGGCUCAGUAGUAGAGCAUGUGUGAAUCCUGGGUUCAAUCCCCAGCAUUGCAAAACAAACAACAAUAAAGCCAAAAAAGAGAAUGAUAUAGAAAUUUUAGCUCUGACCCAAUCAAUUUGGGGCUGAACAGGAAGACAGGCUGUAAAAUAGAGGACUAUUAUUUUACCUUCAGUUUCAAAGAGGUUUGUUUCUGGCAGCUUCACCCCCAGGGCUUUCUCAAGCUCUUCUACCAUGCUGAUUCUCCGGAAAGGUGGGGUGAAAUCAAUCUCAUAGGCUUGGCCCUCUGGGCCAUCUGGGUGGUAAGUGAUCUUGUAACUGCCUGUAAUGUUCUUCACCAUUCCUGAAGAGAAACCCGCCAUUUCAAAAGAAUGAAGCCCAAGAAACUCUCCUCUUGAGGCAGCACACCUGCCCCCACAGAUAAAUUUGAAAGAUAAAGUGAGCAGGACUCACCUGAAACCAUCUUCUCUGUGAUUUCCAUGAGAUCGUGAUAGUCUGCAUAUGCCAUGUAGAACUCACAGGUGGUGAACUCAGGAUUGUGAGUCAAAUCAAUCCCUUCAUUCCGGAAUUGGCGUCCAAUUUCAUAAACCCGGUCAAUGCCACCAACCACCAGCAUCUGACAACACAUUGGCCAUACUCAGAGAAGGAAGUCAUGUCUGAACAGUCCUGGAAAGUUUCUAUAUACUAACUGGUUAUCACAGCUUACACAUGCUUUAUUUAGACCCUUGUAGUAAACAGAUGUCAUUCUUUUUGGCUACCUAGGACUUAUGAACACUCUUUCUGUAUCUCCCUGUCCUGUCUCCUUGGGCCUCUCCAAAGAAGCAUCUUGGGUUAGGCAACAAGUAAGUGACCAAGCUCCAACCAAUCCGACACAACUGUGAGACUUUUAACAUGGUAGCUACUAAAAAAAGAUGUAGGUAUUGCACAAAAUUCAUUUUGGUGAAGGGGAUCAGAUAUCCACCUUUUACAGAUAGUAGCAGUGACCUAUGCCUAGAAGAAAAGACACCAUGUUCUACAUGAAAUGUGAUUCAGCAUCAUUCUUAGUUAUGUGGUCUCCGAGCCUGACUGCCUGAUUGUCUUAGAGAUUGUGAGCUUCCUCAUACAGAUGAAUAAAUUUUUAUUUUCCUUAAACUAGUUAA
Molecule: non-coding RNA, 1849 nt
Organism: Ictidomys tridecemlineatus (thirteen-lined ground squirrel)
Lineage: Eukaryota; Metazoa; Chordata; Mammalia; Rodentia; Sciuridae
Source: RefSeq, a predicted model, not a curated record